GAGGAAGAACCAAAAGGGAUUCCCAUAGUAGGGGCGACCGAACUGGGAAGAGUCCAGCGCAGAACCUCCCGGGCCACCCGGCCUGCGGCGGAAUGUUGCGUAAAGGGAAACGUCGUUGUCAAGCCCUUCGGCCACGUGAGCUCUAAGUCGCCACGAAUUGGCAAUCCCUACUUGCGAGGAGGGAAUGCAUCCACGGAGGGUGUCAGACCCGUGUGGGCGCGUGUCAAUGCCGAAUGGGAUCGACGUUUCCCUGAGAGUCGCGUUGCUCGGUCAUGCAGCGCUAAGCAGGUCGUAAACUCGAUCUAAGGCUAAACAUUUCCACAGGACCGAUAGUGAACAAGUACCGCAAGGGAAAGUUGAAAAGCACUCUGGAGAGAGAGUCAAAAGACCGUGAAACCGCUCAGAGUAUAAGCCAAUGGCGCUUGGAAGGCAUCCGCUGUGGGUCUCGCCUUUCCUUUCGGGGAUUGCGUGCGAUUCGAUGGCAACGUAAGAGGUUCGUGAUGGCUCUAAGCAUUAAGUUGCGGUGGGCCGACGAGUGGGGAAUCGCGGCUGGGUUGUGGCUCGUGGCUUCGUGCCGCGCGGUUGCUCUCGGUCGUCUCCUUAAACUCGGCACGUUCAAGCCCGUUGUCUGAAGCGGUUUUGCCCACCACGACGCGUUGCGAGGUCACCCACAGGCACGAGUGUCGGUUGCGUGUUUGGUCUCGUUGGCAUUGAUGGUCCAAGGGAGUGACGACUGUGUCGCUCAUGACCUGCCUCGAGAUCGACCGGACGACGAAUAUGGUGUCCUGGUAUGAUCCUCAGGCGACGAGUCGCUUCUGGCCCUGUGGUGCGUCAUUCAACUCGCAGAGCUCAUGUGCCGAGUCCGAGUAUUUGCGGAUUGGGACAUUGCGUCCUUCCGUGGGAUGACGAAUCACCAGAGUGGUGUUAAAGUCCGGCGCCAUCGGUCACGUCUCGAAACACGGGCCAAGGAGUAUAGCAUGUGUGCAAGUCUAAGGGUGUCCCAAAACCCGAAGGCGAAGUGAAAGCAAGGUUGUGGCGAGCGAGCGUGUCCCGCACGCGUUCUGCGUGUGCGCGGGUAGGCGGACUUGUCGGCUGUGCGGAGCACUAGAGCUCGUCUCGUGUGACUCUCGCGGCUUUUUGUGGACAGAGCUGAUCCCACCUAGGGCAUUUGUGUGCUUGUGGUGGGCGCAAGCUCCGGGCUCGCAUUGUCGGCGGUCUCUUUGUGGGCUGCCGCGCGGGCACCGUGAAGCAUGCAUGCUAUGACCCGAAAGAUAGUGAACUAUGCCUGGCGAGGGCGAAGCCCCAGGAAACUGGGGUGGAGGCCCGUAGCCGUUGUGACGUGCAAAUCCAUGGUGUCAGCUGGGCAUAGGGGCGAAAGACCAAUCGAACUAU
RNAcentral lists this ribosomal RNA (1392 nucleotides) under Bogidiella veneris. RNAcentral describes it as "partial 28S ribosomal RNA". It matches the Rfam family "Eukaryotic large subunit ribosomal RNA", at positions 53 to 943 of the family's 3401-position model. Lineage: Eukaryota; Metazoa; Arthropoda; Malacostraca; Amphipoda; Bogidiellidae. The record is from RNAcentral.